AGUGAUUCCCACGGGCUUCCUUCAGAGAUUUGAAUUUUUCUAAGUACAUGGUAAGAUGCAGUCUCUACUCCAAAGUUUUCUGGUGCAAGACACAACGUGAGUGACAUUAAGAACGGAUGAUGGAGAAUACUCUUGCUAAAAGUUAAAAUGUUAUAUCAUGAGAUUUGUUACUCAUCGGAUAAAUCCAAGAUCUCACCCAAGGAGAACUGUGAAUACUGUGGGAGGGGAACUGUCACUUCAUUUUCAGAGCUUCACUAUGCAUUUUGCAGCUAUGUAAGAAUACAGAUGCCAAGAAAGUUUGCUGGCCAUUUCUGCUUAAAGCAACGAUGA
Molecule: long non-coding RNA, 330 nt
Organism: Struthio camelus australis
Lineage: Eukaryota; Metazoa; Chordata; Aves; Struthioniformes; Struthionidae
Source: Ensembl